RNAcentral lists this ribosomal RNA (606 nucleotides) under Triticum aestivum (bread wheat). Its description in RNAcentral is "partial small subunit ribosomal RNA". Lineage: Eukaryota; Viridiplantae; Streptophyta; Magnoliopsida; Poales; Poaceae. The record is from RNAcentral.
AUGGCGUUUCUAGCUGAAACUCCCGCCAGCCCUCCCCGAGCACGCCGCGCGCCGCGUCUUCCUCCAGCUCGUCUCCGUGAUCAUCUACUGCCACGUGCGCGGUGUCACCCACCACGGCGUCAAGCAGCGGGACGUCCUCCUCGACGUAGACGGCAACCUCAAGGUUUGCGACUUCGGCCUCGCUGCGCUACCGGAGUCCCACCGCGACGACGGCCGCCUGCACACCACCUGUGGGACGCCCGCCUUCGCCGCCCCCGAGGUGCUCCGCCGCAAGGGCUACGAUGGCGUCAAGCCCGACGCCUGCUCCUGCGGCGUCAUCCUCUACGUCCUACUCGCCGGCCGCCUGCCGUUCGACGACUCCAACAUCAUCAAGAUGUGCAGGAAGGCGCACCGCCACGAGUACACGCUCCCCCAGUGGUGUCCCCGCCGACGCGCCGCCUCAUGAGCCGCCUGCUCCACCCCAACCCAGCCACGCGCCUCACCGUCGCCGAGCUCUCGAGCCACCCGACGGUCGCUCAGCCUCGACUCGCAGCUCUGGACGUGUUCUCGUGUGCGUAUCCAGUUCAAAUCUGUAUCAAUCAAUUCAUAUUAGGCAUGGUUGAGUAG